RNA transcript from Mauremys reevesii (Reeves's turtle), 5305 nucleotides. It is a transcript of the gene named ENAH actin regulator, with no coding region annotated. Lineage: Eukaryota; Metazoa; Chordata; Testudines; Geoemydidae. The transcript is spliced from 18 exons. The record is from RefSeq and is a predicted model, not a curated record.
GGAACGCAGACCAGUAGUGGGCGUGGCGUCGCUGCUCCGCCCACCGCGUCCCCUGCGUGCGGCCGUGCCCUCCCCCCGCCAAGCAAGCCGGUGUCUCGAGACGCCCGCGCGCUGGUGCAGGCGCUCCCGUCCCUUCCACUUUCCCCUACUCCGCGAGUUGGUUUGUUCCUCCUCGUUCCCCUCACCCCCGGCUCCCCGCUGUGGUCGGGUCUGGCCCGACCCGGCGGCUGAACGGAGAACUCGCUCGUGCUCAGGGACUCGCUGCCCAUUGAAGCGCCGGCUCGAGAGGAGGGGGGAGAGUGGCUCCCCGGCCCGGGCAGCACCAUGAGGAUCCAUGGACUGUGCUACUUGGUGUGAGAGACUGGCAAAGUCAUCACAGCUCUUGGGACCCAGCUUGUGUUUCCAGAUGACACCAUCAUGAUCAGGAAUAAAUGGAGAGUUUUCAGAAUGGCAAAAGUGAACAGAGUAUCUGCCAAGCACGAGCUGCAGUUAUGGUCUAUGAUGAUACCAAUAAGAAAUGGGUACCAGCUGGUGGAUCGACUGGAUUCAGUAGAGUUCAUAUAUAUCACCACACAGGAAACAAUACAUUUAGAGUAGUGGGCAGGAAGAUUCAAGAUCAUCAGGUGGUAAUAAAUUGUGCCAUUCCAAAAGGAUUGAAGUAUAAUCAAGCUACACAGACCUUCCACCAGUGGCGUGAUGCUAGACAGGUGUAUGGUCUUAACUUUGGCAGUAAAGAAGAUGCCAAUGUCUUCGCAAGUGCCAUGAUGCAUGCCUUAGAAGUGUUGAAUUCACAGGAAACUGGUCCAACAUUGCCUCGACAGAAUUCACAACUCCCCCCCCAAGUGCAAAAUGGCCCAUCGCAUGAAGAGUUGGAAAUCCAGAGAAGACAGUUGCAAGAGCAGCAACGGCAGAAGGAGCUUGAACGGGAGAGACUGGAUCGUGAGAGAAUGGAACGGGAGAGGCUGGAGAGAGAGAGACUAGAAAGGGAAAGACUUGAGAGAGAGCGACUAGAACAGGAGCAGUUGGAGAGAGAGCGGCAAGAAAGGGAACGGCAGGAACGCCUUGAAAGGGAGAGACAGGAAAGGGAGAGGCAAGACCGAGAGAGACUUGAACGGGAAAGACAAGAAAGAGAACGGCAGGAACAAUUAGAAAGGGAACAACUGGAGUGGGAGAGAGAGAGAAGAAUUUCAAAUGCUGCUUCAUCUUUCGACAACUCCCUGUAUAGCACACCACUUCCUGAAUACUCCAGUUGCCAGCCUCCUUCAGCACCUCCUCCAUCAUAUGCAAAAGCAAUAUCAGCACCAGGGUCAGAUUCCACUCCGGAUUACGCUGUAGUGACUACUGCACCACCGACUUCCACUCCCCCUACACCGCCACUAAGGCAUUCCGCAUCACGUUUUGCUACAUCUUUAGGCUCCGCCUUCCACCCUGUUCUUCCCCAUUAUGCUACAGUUCCUCGUCCUCUGAACAAAAAUUCUCGACCACCUUCUCCUGUGAAUGCCCCAACUUCUUUACCUCCAAAUACAAAGUCCAUUGUCUGGUCUGCUCCCAGUUUUGCACCACUUCCCCCAUCUCCUCCAGUAAUGAUCAGCAGCCCACCAGGCAAAGCUACUGGUCCAAGACCUGUCCUGCCAAUUUCUGCUUCUAGUUCUGUGUCCCAAAUGCCCCAGUCUCCUACUCCUCCCAAUGGGCUUCCUGAGUCUGUAACUUACCCAGUUCCUUCACCUUCUACCUCAGGUCCAACGCCGCCACCACCUCCUCCGCCACCACUGCCUUCCUUUCCACCUAUCUCACUCUCUGGACCUCAAACUUCGCCUUCUCCUAGCUCCCCUAAUGCCUCAACUCCCUCAUCCAAGCCUAGUGUUCUCCCUUCUCCCUCUGCAGCUACCCCUGCCUCUGUUGAGAACUCUCUAAACUCUGUGCUGGGAGACUCCUCUGCUUCUGAGCCAGUCUUGCAGGCAGCCUCUCAGCUGAUUGAACCUCCGACUCAGCAGGGUGUCAUCCAAGGACCACCUGCACCUCCACCCCCACCUCCACUACCACCUGGCCCAGCCCAGUCUUCAGCAGCAAUCCCACCUCCCCCAGGUCCUCCACCACCACCUCCACUUCCACCCUCAGGGCCACCGCCACCGCCGCCUCUUCCUAGCCAAGUUCUUCCUCCUGUUCCUCCUCCACCUCCUGCCCCUCCUCUCCCUACCUCUGGAUUUUCUAUGGGAUCUAUGUCUGAAGACAGUCGCCCUUUAACUGGACUAGCAGCUGCACUCGCUGGAGCCAAACUUAGGAAAGUGUCACGGGUAAAUAGUGAAGAGUCCUCUAGUUCAAGUGGAGGAGCUUUAUCUAAAACAGACAGUGUUCGUGGAAAUGGACCACUUCCCUUGGGAGGCAGUGGAUUAAUGGAAGAAAUGAGCGCUCUGCUGGCCAGGAGGAGAAGAAUUGCUGAAAAGGGAUCAACAGAACCAGAGCAGAAAGAGGAUAAAACUGAAGAAUCAGAGCCUUCAACUUCCAAGCCUUCUUCAACAAGCACACCUGAACUAACAAGGAAACCUUGGGAAAGAACAAACACAGUGAAUGGAAGCAAGUCACCUGUUAUCUCCAGAAUAACUCAGCAAGGAGACUCAACAGGGAGACGGGAGUCUCCAUGGAAAACUCUGAUUGUUUCUGAAAACAGGUCCUAUGAUUCAUUAAACAGACCAAAAUCUACACCAUCUGGGCAAACCAGUGCCAAUGGAGUGCAGUCAGAAGGGCUAGACUAUGACAGAUUGAAGCAGGAUAUUUUAGAUGAAAUGAGAAAGGAAUUAACAAAAUUAAAGGAAGAACUCAUUGAUGGGUUUUUGGAUAGAGCAAUGAUGCUGAACCAUGUCUGUCUUUAAAAGUGGAUGGAUGGGUGCAGAAAUUGAGCAAGAUCCUCCUUGCAGAUGUUUACCAUCUCAUGAUGUUGCUUUCGUUUAGGAAAGCAAUCAGGCAAGAACUGAGCAAGUCAAAUACUGCAUAGAAAGACUAGGACUAAGCCAAUGUGACACUUUCACUUGGUAUAAAGUCGACUACAUUUUGUGAGCUGUUAGAAGAAAAUGGAGACAGACACUUGGAAGGAGGGGAAAACAACAUUCUGAAAACUUUCAGACACAUCACUCUGGUGAUAUGCUUUUUCCUUCCUAGUUUGCUGCUUUUUUCUGACCUUUACAGCAGGGUGGAAAAGAGUCUUAAAAGUUACUGUAAUGAUUAUGCAGAAAUUCCCACAUUUGUCAGACAAGAUCACAGUGCAUUGAGAUGUUCUCAUGUCAAGAUAAAACUGCACAUAUUUCAGAAUUCAUUGUUAACACAAAAAAGGAGAAAAGCUUGGGAAGGCUUUUCAGAGAGGUUUUCUUUAUUAAUGAAGGAUUUAGCAAGCUAUUCUGUUGUACUGCAAAUGUAUCUCAGGUUUGUCUUCCUAUCAUAUUUGAUAUUUCCAUUAAUAACUUCAAAGAGCAGACAUGUAAGUUCAGAUCACAAAAUAUGAAAUAAUUAGAAGUGUAUGCUUUAAAGGGCAAUAUCACCUAGAAAGCGAUGGCAUAUCAAGUUUUUGGAAUUUUAUGAUCGGAAGCCUCUCUAGUUAGCCUUCAUGCAAUUUUGUAAACAAAAAAGCAAGCAGUCCAGAGUUUAAAGAUGUAGAUGCCUUCCUAAAUCGUUACAAUGCUUUACCAAAUCUAAGACUUCUACAUAAUACAAACCAGUGGUCAAAUGUAAAUCAUUAGUAUGUUGUAGAUUUACAGUAGAUUUUCAGGCUUUUUUUUAUUUUUAUUUUUUAAGAUUUAUGCAUGUGGACAUUUUUGUAAGGUAACACAACACAAUCAGCUUUUUAAUUAAACAAAAAACAUUGCAUGUCAUAAAUAUUAAGUAGCCUUUUUCAUUUUUAAGGCUGAAUUAAUGCCAAGGAAAAAAGUUGGGGUGGGAGGAGGGGAAGGUGACAGUUUUGGUUUAAAAAUAUUUUUAUUAAUUUCUGCACUAUUUUUCCACAUAUUACAUGCAUGUGUAAUAAUGAGGAAAAUUGUGUGACUUUUAUCAGUAACCAUGUUAACAGAACCAGGUACUUAAUUCUUUUUGUAUCAUUUCUUGAGUUAUUUGUGUUUCCGAUUCAGUAAUGGUUCUAAAACUCCCAUCUCAUUUUUGUUUCAUUUCUUAACUUGAUCAAAAUCCAAGUCGAUUUAAAUUUAUCAGCUAUUACCAGUGAUGCACCUGUGGUAGUACAGGAUGCACAACAAUUACCUGCUCCUGUAUUCUCUGAGGCUGCUUUUUGACUCUCUGAGGAAACAAGGACAAGGGCUAUAAUGAAGCAUUAGAGCAUUAGGUCACAGCAGAAAAAGGGAAGCAGAAGAACAGUAGUGGGGCAGCAUUAGGUGAGCACUUUUCAGGGGAGAUGACACUUUCCCCUUUCCCAUGGUUUAAAAAUUUGUUAAAACACCUCAUAUAUGCAAAUCUUAGUUUAAACUAAUAAAAUUCAGUGGAGUAAAAAUCCUGCAAGGCAGAGCCGUAAUGCUUUGGAAAAUAUUGUGGAUCAAAUCUGCACUUUUUCCUUGCAUCUUGAAUUUUUCUGAGCUGUAAUAGUGCCAUAUUAUUUUGCUAUCUGCUGAUAGGAAAAAAAAAACCUAUGGUUUUGGAGGCAUUAUUCAUGUUACAGCUUACUUAGCUCCAUUCAUAGAAUAAAAGCUUUAAAUAGCAUAUGUUCCUAGGUGCUGGAAACCAAAGCAAAUCAACAGCACUUUCUGCUUCUGAAAGGCUUGAAUGAGGAUUUUUUCUCCAGUUUAAACAUGUUCCUGUUUCUAUAGAGACUCAAAUUGUAAAAUUGUUCUACAAUGGAAAUAUUACCUAAAUCAAUAUAUAAUUAUCUUUCCAAAAACUGAUCAUCUUUCUGCAUACAUUAGUGAAGGCAUUAAACAAAUUGCAGCAAGCAUGAAAUAAAAGGAGGCAUUUUCAUCUUUGAUAACUUUUGUUUUUGCAAACAUUUUAACAUUAAGGAAGUUUAAUCUUGUCAGAAAUCAUGUUUGAUUUUGUUUGUUAGGGAAGUUCAAGAGUAGCCUACUAGAAAUGUAAUGGGUAUAAGUGGUCCAAAGUAGUAAUAAACAAACUGUCAGAUUGUGGGGGAGAGAGGGAACCUGGUUUAUGCACUAAACGUUUGUGCCUUGGUCUAAAAUUAACAUGAUUUCUGUUUAAAAGAAAGAAGAGCAGAUGUCUUUUUUGUGCUGUUUCUACAUACAUACUUUACAUAAUCUCAUAUUGCUGAAUUGGUCCUUUCCAGAAAAUCUGAUUGAAUUAAAGCUUACUGUAAACA